This is a small nuclear RNA of Stegostoma tigrinum, 102 nucleotides long. The record is from RefSeq and is a predicted model, not a curated record. Lineage: Eukaryota; Metazoa; Chordata; Chondrichthyes; Orectolobiformes; Stegostomatidae.
GAUGGACUUCAACAACACAUUCUGAAAUUGGAAUGAUACAGAGAAGAUUAGUAUGGCCCCCGCACAAGGAUGAUGUGAAUUCGUGAGGAGCUGCCUUGUGGU